RNAcentral lists this transfer RNA (71 nucleotides) under Loxodonta africana (African savanna elephant). It matches the Rfam family "tRNA". From Rfam's summary of the family: Transfer RNA (tRNA) molecules are approximately 80 nucleotides in length. Their secondary structure includes four short double-helical elements and three loops (D, anti-codon, and T loops). Further hydrogen bonds mediate the characteristic L-shaped molecular structure. tRNAs have two regions of fundamental functional importance: the anti-codon, which is responsible for specific mRNA codon recognition, and the 3' end, to which the tRNAs corresponding amino acid is attached (by aminoacyl-tRNA synthetases). tRNAs cope with the degeneracy of the genetic code in two manners: having more than one tRNA (with a specific anti-codon) for a particular amino acid; and 'wobble' base-pairing, i.e. permitting non-standard base-pairing at the 3rd anti-codon position. Lineage: Eukaryota; Metazoa; Chordata; Mammalia; Proboscidea; Elephantidae. The record is from Rfam by way of RNAcentral.
GCAUUGGUGAUUCAUUGGUAGAAUUUUUGCCUUCCAUGCAAGAGAUCCAGGUUCAACUCCUGGCCAAUGUA